This 28-nucleotide non-coding RNA is filed under the name Mus musculus (house mouse). The record is from RNAcentral. Lineage: Eukaryota; Metazoa; Chordata; Mammalia; Rodentia; Muridae.
UGCUAAGAUAUACACAAACAUGAGAGAG